RNAcentral lists this small RNA (1563 nucleotides) under Pongo abelii (Sumatran orangutan). RNAcentral's name for it is "processed transcript". The record is from RNAcentral. Lineage: Eukaryota; Metazoa; Chordata; Mammalia; Primates; Hominidae.
CGCGGUCCCUCCCCGGCUCCGCCGUCGCAGCGGGGCUCGGCCUUGCCCCUCCGCCGUUACCUGCUGCCGGGGGCGGCUUCCCCCACACACCACCCCGUGCUCCGGGGACGGCGGCGGCUGCAGGUCCCGCGGCUCUCACAUGAGGCGCCCCUGGCCCCCCGCUUCGCGCUCCCGCAGCCGCGGCCCCCCGCGCUCCGCCCGCAUCCGAGGCGCUGGUCCCGCGGAGGGCGCCAACGCGGCUCCACCUUUGCGGCUCUGGCUGCCCAGAGAGAAGCUUUCCUUCUCAGUCCCGCGCUGUCCGCGUCCUUGUUCAGGGAUCCCCGGCGCCGCGAGAGACUACCUCAGCGAGCGGUGCCACCGCAUCUAACUCCAGUCCAAUAUCCCCUAAGACGCCUUCUCUGACCACUCCAGGGCACAAUGAUCUCAAGGUUCAGCAUCUCCAGAGAUGAGCUUUCCAAAUACCUGAUGAAGAUAUGCAUGUGAAAAGGAAUUAAUGACAGGCAUUAACACUAUAUUGGCCAGAGGACUCAUUAGCUGAUUCCGCAGGUUUUAUAAUAUGCUACUCUUGCUAACAUACACCACUAUUUUUCUUAAUUACAAAUGCAACAUGUAACUCAGGUGUUUAGGACUAUGAAAAGAAAAAAUGGGCAACAUUUGUAGCCAGAAAUUUCUAUAAUAAGUUUCACAAAAUAUUUUGUUACACUCUUAAAAUAUAUUACGGCAAUUAUCCUGUGCUAGAAUAUGUCAUAAGGACACUCACUUGAGACGUAAUCAGUCUGAAUACUCGCAGAGUCUCAGCUUCACAGUUCCUCUGCUGGGCCACACUGGCUGAAAUCUGGCCAGCUAUUUUUGUGCUUUCACCAUCUUUCCAGCCCAGGACUUUGACUUGUCGAACUCUCAGUGUAUUUUCUGGGCCUUUUAAUUCAAUUUUUAUGAUGUGAUUAUCCCCUCCUGGAAGUUCACUUGUUACCCAGCCAAUGUGCCUGGAAUCCAGAUCAACCUGGUUGAGUAGAAAAGAGGCAGGAACCUGAUUCAGCUGGAUCACUUUUAUCACUGUGCUGGACUUAGCAUUGAUAUUAGCAAGCUCAAAUAACAAAGAAUUGUACAGAGUAAAGGUUAUGAGGUUAUUUCACACUGAUUUUCUUAUUUCAACCAGGUGAAGAUAAGUAAUAUUAUUUAUAGUUGCUAUUACACAGAUGAAGAAACCAAGGUUAACACAGGUUAAGGGAUUUUCAGUAAAUGGUGGAAUUGAGAAUUAAAAUCCAGGCCUGACUACGAUAUGGCUUCCGAGCAAAAUUAUAUGAGUAAAAUAAUUACAAAUAAUUUAUAUGACUGUACCUUAUCUGUAUUAUCUGUAAGAGGAAACCUCACAAGAUCAGAAAAGGGUUCUUUUUUUGUGCAUCCUCACAUUAAAGUACAAUUUAAAGAUAAGGGACUUUAAAGUGCAGUUACUUAAUAUGUUUUACUUUUGAACAAAAAUUAUAUAAUAUGUAACUUCACACUUGUGAUUCCUUAUUUCACUAAUUUUCAUUGAGAACAUGAUUUUUUUUUCAAGGAUUAAAU